This 223-nucleotide long non-coding RNA is filed under the name Olea europaea (common olive). RNAcentral describes it as "long non-coding RNA (OEUR_LNC008357)". Lineage: Eukaryota; Viridiplantae; Streptophyta; Magnoliopsida; Lamiales; Oleaceae. The record is from RNAcentral.
GUAUUGAGACUUUACAAUGAGAACAUUAUGCUCUCUUUAUUAUACGAUCGAUUCUUCGAGAGCAACGUAUGUUGAGACUAUACUUUAUUUACCGAAUAAAGUCGAGUGGAAAGUUCUCGAUCAUAUUCUCCCACUUAAUACAUUGUUGCCACCAAAAGUUGAACUGCGUGAUCUGAACAUCCAUGUACAUCUAGAAUACCAUCUACCAUAAAGUUUCUUCGAC